Molecule: ribosomal RNA, 745 nt
Filed under: uncultured bacterium
Lineage: Bacteria
Description: bacterial SSU rRNA
Rfam family: Bacterial small subunit ribosomal RNA
Source: RNAcentral
UCGGACGAGAUUCUCCGUUGUAGCAAUACGAUGGAAAGUCUAGUGGCGAACGGGUGCUUAACACGUGGGCAACCCGCCAAGAAGUGGGGGACAGCUCGCCGAAAGGCGGAUUAAUACCGCAUGUGAUUAGAGAGGACAUCCUUUCGAAAUUAAAGCUGGGGCAACCUAGCGCUUCUUGUGGGGCCCGCGGCCUAUCAGCUAGUUGGUGAGGUAACGGCCCACCAAGGCUUUGACGGGUAGCUGGUCUGAGAGGACGACCAGCCACACUGGGACUGAGACACGGCCCAGACACCUACGGGUGGCAGCAGUCGAGAAUUUUUGACAAUGGGGGAAACCCUGAUCGAGCGACGCCGCGUGGAGGAUGAAGGUCUUCGGAUUGUAAACUCCUGUCAUUGGGGAACAAGUCGCUUACGUUAACUGCGUGAGCGUUGAUAGUACCCGAAGAGGAAGAGACGGCUAACUCUGUGCCAGCAGCCGCGGUAAUACAGAGGUCUCAAGCGUUGUUCGGAUUCAUUGGGCGUAAAGGGUGCGUAGGCGGCGCGGUAAGUCGGGUGUGAAAUCUCGGAGCUUAACUCCGAAACUGCAUUCGAUACUGCUGUGCUUGAGGACUGGAGAGGAGACUGGAAUUUACGGUGUAGCGGUGAAAUGCGUAGAUAUCGUAAGGAAGACCAGUGGCGAAGGCGGGUCUCUGGACAGUUCCUGACGCUGAGGCACGAAGGUCAGGGGAGCAAACGGGAUUAGAUAC